AAAGCUAAAGAGGACCACGUGGAAUCUAAGUGGGGGCAUCAAGUCCUCUUGAUUAAAAUAAUCAUUGUUCUCCGAAGAUAUUUUUGCUUCCAUCUUCUUCUUCUUCACUCUCCAUAACAAACUUCUUUCUCUAAAACUCUUUUCAUCUCUCUCUCUUUCUUCAAAGAAAACCAGAUCUCUCUUUCUUCUUCUAGUUUUCUCUCACUUUCUUCAUCUUCUUCUUCGUUGAUUGUGCCCUAGAUCUUAAAAUUCUCUUUAUUAGUUUUGUUUCAGUACUCAAACCAACCAAUUCCAAAGCUUCAUCAAUGCAGAUUACGUGUGGAUUUCGACGAUCGUUAUCUUCAUAAUCGUUGUUAAUUAUUUGCUGAGUUUCGCUUAAAUUAACUGAGUAAUCAAUAUGUAAAAGGUUCGUGAUUUGAUCUUAAACAAUCAUCUCAUGUCUUCUUUAAUGUAUAUUGCUUAUUAAGUUAUUAAGCUCAGUAUAAUUGUUUGGAAGAAUUAGUAGGUUUGACAAAUUUUAUUUUCUUGUAUGUUUCUUUUUGUAAAUCUGUUACAGAAAUAUAUCAAUGCUCGGAUCGUUAACUAUCUGUUCAGCACAUAACAUGAUUCCUUUCAGUACAUAUCAGUUUAUCAGGUGAAGAGAACGAAUCCUCUUUUUAGUAUAUUUCUUGAUAAUAGUAGAUAGAUCUUAUUUGAUUUGAUUUGUUGUGCUGUUGUUAAAUGUUUCGUGGUAAUCACUAAUCAGUCUUGUUAUUAUCAAAUAUAUCGAGUAUUAAGUGGUUAUUGGUUAGAGUUUUGAAUAUCUGGAUAUGUUUAUAUUGAGUUGUGUUUAUAUAUUGCUUAUUUUGAUUUUUUUGCUUAUAUUCAGAAAUUUUGACAAAUAUAAAUUAUAAUACAAGAGAUACUGUUGUCUAAUAUUGUUUUAGUUAAUUUGUAUUGGAGUUAUGGAUGUUUAUUUCAUAUCGAAGAUGACAAUUAUUGAUUGUGUGUUUGAUUGGUGGGGAAGAACUGCUUGAAAAUCUAUUAUUUGGAAAUUAACAUUUGAAUCCUCCUGUGUUGUGUGUAUUUCGUAGAAUGUAUCUAUCAAGCAUGCUUGUAUAUUUGUUGUUGAUUUCUGAAAACAUGUCUCCAUGGACAUAUCUACAUAUGUCUGUCAGUAUGUGUGUGUGAUUGCAAAUUACGCAGUUUUCGUGCUAAUUCUUAAUGAAUUAUUUAGUGUAUGCAUCUUUGUUACUAAUAUUAAUUGUUGUAAAGAAAAACUAGGUAAUUUGAUGUUAAAUCUAAUAAAUAUUUAUGAAGUAUUGCUAAAAAAAUCAAGCAAAAGUUUUCGAAAAAGGUCAUGCUGUUGAAAUCAGUAGCUUGGUGAUAUGUGGUGGGAUUAAGUUUGCGUGUAUGUGUUGCAAUUGUUGUUGGAUUUAUGCAUUUCUCAGCGAGUUGUGUAUUGAAUGUGUAGAUUUUUUUUCAUUUUUUUUCCCCAUCUGUAAUACAUAGAAGGUGCAUAGCCUCUGGGGUGAUGAUUGCGUCAUGUAGUAUAUAUAGUCCCACACUCCCACAUAUUAAUAACUUGGAUGGGAUAAUGGAUAUAACUAUAUAAGUAGUUAUUUGUCACACAAUAUUGACAAGGUAUUUGAGAACACACUGGCUUUUGAAGUUAAGCAUGGUUUGGCCGGAGGACUAUUAGGAUAUGGGCACUUACUGGGAAUAGGGAUGGAUGUUGGUCAGUUCUUUGAUUACUUUUUGGAAUGAGUCAAAACGCAACACUGUUGGAGUACCUUAGCAGCUAAGUAGGAACAUUUUGGCAGUGUGUAUGGGAGUGAGUGAUCGCUACAUACAUACUCCUUCUUUUGAAGAAUACAUCAAAUUCAUUUUAUUGUAAACGUAUAAAAUAUAUAUGAAAUAUUGUUGUGGAAAAUAAAAGGAUGUGGUAGUGUUGACAAAUUGGUAAUUUUCUUACCAAUGUUGUUCCUUCGUGGGGUUUAGGGUAAUUUAUAUAUAUAUAUUAAGGGCAAUAAUAUGGUUUAGGGUUUAGGCGAGUGAUAGAUUCCCCAAGGGAAUCACAAAAGAAAAACCAACAUACUUUCCUCAAUAUUUGAAGACGUCAAUAAAUAUUUCAUGGAAUCUAACACCCAAGAUUUCGCAUGACAAUCUCAUUGCACGUAUAGGGUUUGGUUGGAUGUGGAGGAGUUGGAUUGACAUGUCUGUUUCUCCUGCGUCCAUCUCAGUCUUGUUAACGAAGCACCUGUGGGUUGGUUCAGGAGUUCCUUUUGAAUAAGGCAAGGGACCCACAUCCCUUUUCACGUUAUUGUUAUUUCUGAAGCUAUUAGCCUUAUCACAAACUGCGCCAAUGAUAUCAGUCGCGAGCAGUUGUUUCACACAUUUAGUUUGUUGACGACACUAUCUAUUUCCUAGACACUUAUGUUGAUCGAUCAAAGUAUGUUAGUGGCAUUCUGGCCUGUCUGAAGGCAGUCUCUGGUCUUAAGAUCAGUCUGAUCAAAAGUAAGGUCUGUAGUGUUGGAGUGGCGUCAUACACUGGACUUUUGCUAGGGCCUAGUUAUCGGUCUAGCACUAUUUGGGAUCCACUGAUUGAAAGGUUUGAAUGCUAACUUGCCUCUUACAAAGAGCGUUAUUAGUCCAAAGGAGGGAGGGUGGUCCUUAUCAGGAGUUACAUGGUUAGCUUGCCAGUGUAUUUCCAGUCCCUUUUUCAGGAUAAGAUAAUGCACGAUUUUCUUUGGGGUGUUAGUGAGGUCAUCAUUGCACAAAAUAGCGUGACAUUUCACUAUAAACCCGCAUAACAUCGUCACAAUAUUUUUGACUUGGACUUUUUGCUAACACCAUAAAGAAAAAUCAAACAGGCAUCUUUAUCUUUGUUACUAUCUCUUCAAUCACAGAUCAUAGGUGAGAUCAAAAGAGUACAGCUUAAUGCAAUCUAUGAUACUUUAAGAGUAUAGCUUAAGCUGUAUGUUGGAGAGGUGCAAGUGGAACAAUAACAAUAGGGCUGAUAAGUGAGCGGAAUUGCUCAACUCGGCUUAAGGCUAGGCUCAUUUUUCAGUCGUUCAAUCUCGUUCACUUUGUAACAAGUCAAGCUACUCAAACUCAGUGUGGGACUCAGCUUGUUUUUUGCUUGCUCGAGCUCGUUCUUUUCGUUACAUGAGUCAACUUAGUCAAACUCCGCGUGCUCGAGCUUGUUCAUUUUGAACAUGUUGAAGCUUGAUUAGCUCAAUUCGAAUAUGAUGAAAAAACCCGAGCUACUGAAGUUCACCUUGGGCCCGAGCUCAGUCAAUUUGUAAUAUGACCCAAGCUUGAACAAAAUUCUUAAAGAUUGGUUGUCAGAAGGUCCAAGAUUGAACAUGCUGGAGCUCGACCAGCUUGGAUCGAGUACCAGUCCUAACUCCUAAAUAGCAACAUGUGUAUGGGUGGUUUGUUACAGAAAGGUUCAGAGCCAAGUACGGCUCGCUUUGAAGGUGAUGGGGCUGUCAUAUUCUACGAGUAUAGCUCAAAGGGCUGUUGGAAAGGCCCCUUGCCCCUUGAUAGGUGAUGGUAGCUCUAAUGUUUAGUCUGUGUGUCCCUCCUCAGCUAGGAAGUCGUCUUAGACCUGCCAUUAGCCUUGAUUGCUGUUUUCAAGGAUCUUGAUUACUUUAAUUUCUCAUUAGCCUUGAUUGCGGGAGUUCAGUAUAGAAGAAAACAGCAAGCAUAAGUUGCCGCCAUACCUUGAAAAACUACCACAGAUCAAGAUCAUAAAAAUCAGUAGUGGCAUGAUGUAUAAUCUCUUACAUAGUACGUCAGUAAGCACUAUUGAUUGACAGUGGGUUGAAGAGUACCACAAAACACUGUCCUAACCUUUGUUACUAUUUAAUCCCAGAUGGUUAUUUUUCCAUAUUCAUUUGAACUUGUGCUGUGCACAUAUGUUUUAGAUAGUUUCUGGCAACUCAUACUUUUUCGAUCUUUACACUGGUGCCCCCAUAAUCUAGACCCCCAUUUAGCCAUCAAAAGACCGACAGGUGUGUGAAGCCUUGUACUGAUGGGUUUUUGUGGCCGAAAACUUUAUAUAGAUGUUGCAUUUUGAUGAUCAAAUUAGCAACAAUAUCUGAGUUACAGAUGUCCAAAUUGGGAACGAUAUCUGGGUCUGCCUCUGUAAAAUGAGGUCAAUUCAUUUGGUCUGCGUCUUUAGAAUGGGUCGACCCUGAGUCAGUUGGUGUUGUCCAUUUGAUGUGGUGUAGAUAGGAUCCGCCUCACGUGCUAAGGAGGAUAUGGGGGUUGCGUACAGUUUGUGAUACUUUGUGGGUAUCUUAUUAGAGCAGAACUGCCAACAUUUUCAGGAUAGGCGUAGGAUUGCUGUUCCUUUGGUGCAAGAGGAGGUAGGACUACUAGGACAACAAGGGGUUGCUAUUCCAUUGGGCCUUGAGGUCGUUUAUAACUGUUUGCUAGUUUGUGAGUGUUUUGUUAUUGUUGUUGUAGUUGCUUUCUAGUUAUUAUCUUGACCAGGGAUGUCUCAUCUCUUGGCACUUUUGUGUGUAAUGCCCUUUCCCAAUUACUAUGUUGAUUGUUUUAUCUCUCAGAAAAUUUAGGUCAUGUGAAAGCUAUGUACACGAUAAAAUCCAGCUAAGGCUAGCAAAGCAAAGAGUAUCUCUUUGUUUGUAAUGUUAAGAGGAGUGCUAUUUGUGUAUCAACCUAAUGAAUGUCUGUUGCAAUGCCUAAGUUGGUUUUAUGACUUACUGAGAUAGUGCUAUUUCUGGAUCAACUUGGUGAUUUUGUGUGCUGUACGCUUAAAACUACUACAAUUUAGUAAUUUACUAUACCGCCUUCAUGUUUGUUCCUGACAUGGAUUGCAAAAGAAGCUUGGAUGAUAUCAUUCACUUGGGCUAUUUUUACUAAGAUAUUACUGCAACACUUAAAUGUUCCUCAAAUAUCAUUAUCCACAUGAGAUGAUACCAAAUGCCAAUGCCUAGCACAAUACAUCAUGUAUGCUUUACCUUAGAUGUUUGCUGAUAGAUAUGUUGAAAUGUCCCGGAUAGCACAAACUACCAAGAGAAAGCCCUUUAUCAUUUGGCCUUUAAACCAUUUUUCUAUUAUACCCCAAAGUUGAUAACCUGCCUUUGUCCAAUCUUUGUUAUUACUGCUGCUGCUGCUGCUGUGAAAGAAGAGUUCUGCAGAUUGUGUGCAAACCUGACAACAAAAGGUUGAUAUGCUAUUAGCCACCAUUUCUCUAUUAUACCCCCAAUGUUGUAAACUUCCUUUGUCCACUCCUUGGUAUUACUGCUGGCUGCUGCUGUGAAAGAAGAGUCCUGAAGAUGGUGUGCUAACAUGAGCACGCUCUAAAUCUGACAAGAAUAGGUUGAUAUGCUAUUAGGCUCCCUUUUUCUAAAAUAAUUCCCAAUGUUGAUAAAUUGCCUUGUCCAGUCCUUAUUAUUUCUGCUGCUGGCGCUGCUGUGAAAGAAGAGCUCUGAAGAUGUGUGCUCAACCUGAGCAUGCUUUGAAUCUGACAAAAAUAAUGGAGUUAUUCAUUCGAUAGUAUAAUUUUCUCCAUUUGGUAUGAUGAAGUUUGAAUGACCUUCAUGCUCAAAUUUAAAUCUCCAGUCUCAUGUAGAUUUAUUUGUUAGAGGUCAUUUUGUUACAACUGGUUUAUAUUGGAAGAGAAAACAUUACAUGUUCAUUCAAAAUAUGUGUCUUGCAUGCUGGUUGUCACUGACAUUUGAUUCAUGAGUUUUGGCCCUCUCCCUGUGUGUGUGUUCUAGAGAGAGGAGAGAGGGAGGGGGCUUUACCUAAAAUCAGCAGGGUUGAUUGUUUGAAGUUUAUUUGAAAUAUAUCUACUAUGUGUGAACAAUGGUUAAGAAACUUUAGGAAUUCAAUUCUACAAUAGAGCUUCUCAAUUUCUAAAGGAUAGAAUGUUUAAUUAGACAUAAUAUGGUGUGAAGGUCUACCUUACAGUAGGCAUACAAUCAUGAGGUCAUAAGGGGGCAACAAGGGUGUAUGUGACAACAUUUGGCGUAGAAGACCUUUAGAACCUGUCUUUUGACCAUACCUGAUUAUUCUGGAAUAAUUUAUGCAAUGACGCAUCCUACUUGGUUAGCGCACAAUAAAAUUUAAAUUUCAAGACCUUUCAUUAUUUCAAUUCUAUUAUCUGAUUUUGAGUAAUUUGAUGAUAUCUUCAAUAGCUUAUGUCAUCAAGAUGUCAAUAUUGUGUUUCAUAGAAUACGAUUCAGAUAUAGCUGUUCUACUAACUAUUAUUUCAAUUAUUUUUGAAGGAUUUAAAACAAAUAAAAGCACCAUGUAUAUCUGGUACAGUGAAUUGUUUCUAAGUAAAUUUACAUAGAUAAUUAGCUCCAUUAAUCAUACCACACUGAAAAUAAGUUUUUUCUGCUAAUGUAUUUUGUCUAGCUCAUAUAGCACAUUGCACUGCAAAGAAACAAAGUAUUGCCAGAUUGCCACAUAGAAUUUUAUUGAUCAGGCCAACUGACAGUUGCCACAGUUCAAUCACGUAUCUAAUGCAAUUGUAGUGUGCUGCAAAUUUUAAGCAAGCAUAUUUGAGAUUAGUUAUGACUGAAGAAAUUUGUAUUUUUUCAGAUUUUGAAGGAAUAUGGAAGUGUUUAGUUUACCCCAACUUGGUAGCCCCUGGUGAAGUCUCAUAGUUUUGUUGCUCUGGCUGACACAACUGGAGGUGGAUAGGAACAUGCAACUCUUCUGAAAUGCUGAAACCAUUUGGAAGAGGUAAGUUUCUGGUUGCUCUGUUUGCAUCCCGUGUUCCAUAAACCUGAUGAAGAAUUUUAUAUUGUAGAAUCUUUCAGAUUUAACCAUGAAAUGAGUAUGCGCAACACUUCAGCAAAAUAUAGGUUGUUUGUAUUAGUUUGUGAAAUCCGUAAACCAAUACCUUCUUAUACAAUUCCAUGUUUUCUUGACGAAUGAGGUUUACCUUCUUGUACAGUUCCAUAUUAUCUUGAUGAAUGAGGUUCCCCUGCAGUGAAGUCAAUAGAAGUUAGACACUUGAAUGUGCAAGGAGAAGUAGUAACAAUUUUAUUAAGAGGAGAGACCUUUCUGUUAAGCUCUUGUAUUUCAUUUGUCAAAAGUUGGUCCUGCCAAAAUCAAAGCCGUUUUAAGAUAUAUACACUUUAUCUUUAGGUAUAUACAAGAUUGUCACUACUGAGUUCUGUUAUUUUGGACCUUCUGCACACGAACACCACGUAGACUCAUUUCCAAUUGGUUCUCCAGAUUUUGUAGGUCUUUAACACUCAAACCAGAGAGCUCUUCUCCCAUCAAUUUUCUGCCAGUAUAAAUGUAGACAUUUCAUUUAGAUGCCAAAAUUAUUAGAUAAUAAAAUAAGCCACUUUAAGUAUUUUAAACAUGUAAGCAGUUUUGUUCCCAAUGACGUGUAAUAAUUUCAAGAAUAUGAUUGAUAUGGUUUAAACUUUGACUUCUAUUUCUUUGUGCUAAUAGUGUGCAAGUACUGAUAGGCUGUAUGUUAUGGACUUAUGGAUAUGUAGAAGAGUAUAGCUGAAAUGUGUAUUUACGGGGAACCUUAAAAAUUAAAAGUGCUUUUAAUAAAACGUUGACCUUUGAAACAUUGAAAUAUAGAAUUUCAUAUAGAAAAUACAGCCAGAAUCUGUCAGGAUCUUAGAUCCUGAUUUGCUUGAUUAGAUAAAAAUUAGGAAGAAUUAGAGAGAAAGGGGAAGAACACGAGAGAGAAAGCGAGAUACAGGAAAGCUAAUUCAUUUCAUUCAUAAUACACAUGGUACAACUCUCAUGCUUUUAUCCUAACACAUGCUCCUUACAACAUUUACUUUUCUACCCUUCUAUUAUUUCUUAAAGACAUUCAUUCUAAUUACCAUAUCCUGACAGAAUCGUAAAUGAAGACUUUCUUGCCUCCUUAAGAAAAAAAAGGGACAUACUACUAUUAGGAUAUGAUGCUUAUUGCUUCUUAACACCUUUGGUGGCAUAUAAGCUUAUACUAGCAUUUGUAGAGCAAAGUGGAUAAGAUCUUACCGGUGGUUUUCUUGCAAUUCAUGCAGUUGCUGCCUUAAGCUUGCUGCCUCCCUUUGCCAGAACUAGCAUUACAUGGCACAAAAAAGAAUUUAUAUAAUGAUGAAAAAUGGCUGAUAUUUGUGGUUACUGGUUAUAUUAAAAAUUGGUCUGAAUUCUUGUUGAUGAUUUUCAUGAAUAUAACCAGACAAAAAUAAUAUAAGCUUCAGUUUUUAAAAGGUUACAUAUAAGGAUAUUAAUCAAAAAAACUUUUCCCCAAAUCUUGAUCUAUUUAUAACUGUAAAUGAAAAAUACGAUUAAUCUAUAGUAAAAUGGGGUCAACCAGUGUGACUAAUAGAUCUAAACAUACAAUGAUGAUUGGUGACUAAGUGCAAAUCUAAGAAGCACUGAGACCUCCUCCAGGCUCGUGUGUUGGUGUUAGACACGUCUGGGUUAUGGACCACGUUACGAGCCUACAACACACUCGAGAGACAUGUUCGAUACGUUAAAAUUACAUGUCCGAUAUUCGAAAUAUAUUUUUUGUUUAUUAUGAACACGUCAAAGACACACGAAGGCAUGAUAGAAACAUGUUGGGGACAGACCAAGGAUAUGUAUAUGGGAUUUUUUGUCAGUUUUAAAGAGGGUUAAAAAAAAAAUCAAUUCAACAUAUAACAGAAUGAAAAUAAUGAAAGAGAGGCUUAUAACCUAAAAUAGAUGAAGGCUUCUAAUCUAUGUAACAUGGACACUCUGUAUAGUAAAAGAAAUCCGUGUCAGAUACACGGACACUCGACACGUGUCGGAUACACUUACAAACUUGUGCACAUAAUUCGGGUUAGAAUUUAUAAUAAAACCCUGAUAUACGAAGAAAAGGAAAGAGAUGAGCAAGAAUUUAUUCCUUCAUCAAACUACAAUCAAUGCAAAGAUAAAACAAGAAGGUGAGAAGAAGAGAUGGUAUGUUCUAUGUCUAAAAAAUGGGUUAUAUAUAAAUCACAAUCCGUAUCCUCGUGUCGACUGGUUUUUGGAUGCCGUAUCGGACACUUCGUACCUGUGUCGGAAACCUACACACGUACCCGUGUCAAUGUUAAUUAGCUUCUAAUAAGCCGAGUCCCAACUUGUACCCAUAAUGUGAGAAAAUAAAGAAGGGUUUCGGAGUCCGUAGAAUACUUGUUGAACUUAUAAUGGGUUAUUUUGGAGUUAUUGGAGUUGAAUGAAAUUCAACAACCUAACCUUUUCAAUUACUCAGGAAAUUCAACUUGUGUUUUUUGUUGUGUACAUGUAUGUUGGCAUCUUAGGUCCAGUUAAAUAAAAAAGGUCUUUAGUAACGAGGCUCAAGGGUCACAUGUCAGGAAAUAAAGUUGUCCUGCACCACAUUGAGAGUAUACUUGAUACUUGAGGACUCGUUGUUGCUUUGCUCCGAGGGAGCUCCAUCUAACUUCCUCAUCUGUGGACGGAUGAUGUAAGAUUUUAUGUGAACAAAGAAAGGAGAAUGGGUUGCCUUGGUUUGGAGACUUGGUUUGAAGAGGAGGGGGGAGUGGUCUUAUGCUUUUGCGUGUUUGUGUUUUAGUGUUUUUGUUUAAAAUAAUCUGAUGAGAAGAUCUAUAGACUGGAGAAGCUUUUGGUUAACCUAAUAGGAAAGGCACCAUGCCCCAGACUUUCUCUUAUCCAGAUUCCAGACCAAUCUUAUUUCAGAUAUUCUAGUCUAGAUUUUCAGAGAAAGAACUAGUAGAGAAAUCUUGCUAUGCGCUCAUCCAAUUUAUCAAGCAUGGAUUUUUGACUCAUUCUGAGAUAUUCUAUAUGCUUGUUAGGGCUGGGCAAAUUAACACUAAAACCGACAAACCGAUCCGAACACAACCGAACCGAACAUGUUAGAAGGUGUUAGGUUGUUUAAGUGUUUGGUUUCGAUUGGAUUUUUUUUUCAAAACCGAAGUAAUGUUUGGCUUCGGUUUCAAAAUUCCUAAACACGUUAAAACCGAACCGAACAUGUAUCUCCCAUUCAAUUAUCCAGCCCACUAAAAACAAGCCAACACUAUAGAGUCCAACCCACUAAUAACAGGCCAACACUCUAUAGUCCAGCCCACUAUUGACGAAAUUUUAAGGGACUUAGGGCUAACUUUCACGUAUUCUUUCUUGUUUCUUCAUCUUCAUCCUUCUUUCUUCACUACUCUACACGUUUUUCGCUUCCACUUCAAAUCAGUUAAUCAAUACAUCAACUAUGCUCCAUUCAAGAUAAUCAAUCUCUGUUCUUCAACUUUCAUUGGCGAGUUUCAAUUUCAUUUCUAUUUAUUUAUUUAUUUAUUUUUUCGAUUUUUGGUUUGAAAUGUGUAUACAGUAUAUAACAUGUUUGGUUCGGUCCCAAUGUCCCCCUCUCUUUUUUAUUGAAAAUUUUAAUUAACAGGAAGGGGUCCGCCAAACCCCACCCCCUUUUCUGGAAAAACAUGUUUGGUUCGGUUUUUUCGGUUAACCGAACAGUUAUAUGUGUUUGGUUUGGUUUCGGUUUAUAUACAAAUAUUUCGGUUCGAUUUGGUUCGGUUUAUUAAUUAAGUCGGUUCGAUUUCGGUUUUUCAUAUUAAAAAACAGGUACUAUGCUGUUUGGCUUCGGUUUUAGUUAAAACCAAACCAAACCGAACCAUACCCAGCCCUAAUGCUUGUGACGUUUAUAAAGAAUGCAAAAGUGGAGAGGGCGUGGUGGUUUAGAAAAAGAGAUAGGAUUGGGGAGCAGGUGGUGACAAGAAACAAACCUAAUUGAGAGAGAAGACUGUUGAGUUGUAAGCAGUCUCAGCUGGUCCACAGGUUGUAUAUGUUGAAUGCCUGAGCCUUUAAAAUUAGCUUGAGGGCUUUAUUGUAAGAGGCAUGAGCUGACUAUGAAGGUGCAGAAUAUGAAUGGAAUAUCCAAUUAUAACUUGUCUGCGUCAACUCACUGGUGAAUAUAACCUGCAGAGAACCAUCCUGUGAGUGAAACGUGAUACAAGUGAAGUACUCAGAUGGUCGAGGUUCAGGUAGACAAGCAGUACCUUGACAUUUCCUGCAUUUCCUUAUAUUGCUCGAGUCUAUAUUGUAUAGAGGGUUCCCUUGUGGAGUUAAAACUGAGGACCAGCUGAGACUGCUCUAGGGGUGACCCUGCUGAGAAUGAGAAGAAUUUGGAUUUCACAACAAACUUAUAUCAAACUUGGUUUGAAGUUUGAAUUCCUGGCUUUGUGGAAGUUCACCAUUCUUUGAAGAAUAAGAUGUUGUAACUGAGACAGUAUCAUGCAGACCAACACAUUGCCGAGACAAAUAGACAUUCUCAUUGUAUCAUUCAGGUCAUCUGAGACCGCCAGGGCCAUGUACUGUAGACACCUCGGAGUGGCUUUCGUAAUUACUGCAGCGUUAUAUAUUGUCGGCCGGCUCCCUUCGUUAUAUUUCUAUUGAGAUGGAGGUAUGUGGGUGACGAAUGUGCUCACACAGCAGGUGGGCCAGCUAGCUUAGUUGGUGAAGUCUGUGCGAGUUGUCUGAAAUUCAGAAGGGAUUUAUUUCAAAUAUAAACUAUGCCUAUUAAAUUUGAUACCCAUACCCAGAGUUCAUAUAGAGUUUAGAAUCUGCAUUAUAUGUGAAUGAAAGAUCUCAAUUUCAUUUGUCAUCAUUUAAAUUUUUGGAUUGUUUAUAUAUUUGAUGUAUUUAAGAAUGGGACUUUGGAAAAUAUGAACUAUUGUUUUCGUGCACCACGCACAAUUGACAAAACUAAGUGUGAUGCUCAUCGUCUUGAAGAGCGCAAUGGAUACCUGUCAACAUGGAUAUCUCAGCAUAUCCUAUACGACUAAUACCCUGGCGAGUGUGUCCCCACUGUAAAAAGUUCAUGUAAGUGUGAUUUUUUUUCCAUGACAUGUUUCUUAAGGACCACAUCAGCCAAAUCCUCUUCCAACUGGAGCUCAGGAUUUUCACAAAACUUAAGUGCUCACCAGGUAUAGUGUAAAAUAAUUCAGAUGACCUACAACCAAGGUCAUCUAGGUUAGCUAGAGCAGCCCAUAAAACUAAGGCAUUUCAACGAUAUGAGUUUGGAUGCUCAUACUGAUAUCUGGAAAUUGACAAACAGACAAUUCCUGAGAGUUAAACUCUCUUGCUAGUGAUGGAAGGAUCUGUUAUGUCGCUUCACUGAACAGAAAAAGUAAGGUUUAUUCUGAUCUACUCAGGCAUUCACACAUACGCAUUGUGAAUCAUCGAAUUCUAAAUAACAUACUAAAUAACAUUUUUAUUGUGAAUCAUCGAAUUCUUAAAAACACCUUAUAUUGUGUUGCUGAUUAGAUCGUGUCUUGUGUAGAAUAUAAGAUGUAGUGGUAUACGGCCAACAUUGCAUUGAUGGUAUAUGUAUGUACAUAGAUUUUUUAUAUGCGCUGAGGACUAAUGUAAUAGACUAACUGAUCCAUGUUAAAAAUCCAUUUAUCUGAGCUGAUUCCGUAGGACAAUGACACUACAGAAAAGGUACAUCAAGAACAAUGAGGGCAUUGUGUCUUGGAAAUAGAAGCACGAAAGCUAUAUAUCAUACAAAACAAUACAAUAUGAGAAGCUUAGUUUUUUGUUGUUUUGCAAUCUGUUGAGUUGUUGUUGGGUAUAUGACAGUAGAAAUUUCCAUAUCCGUGUGAUUUUUGUUUUUGACAUUGAAGUAGUCUAUGCUUGAGAUAGCAAUCUGUUGGGGAAAUGGAGUGCAACGCUACUACAUUUAUUGCAGUUAAGAGUUUUAGUGUUUUUAACAUAAAGACAAAAACCACAACUGCUGAAAUGCGGGUUGUGUCUUCUCUACCUGCUCCCCCAAUUUCUAUCUCUGGUUUUUUGUGUUACUUUACUGAAAAUUUUUACUCUCUCUCUCUUUCUCUCUCUCUCUCUCUCUCAAAAUAAAAAUAAAAAUAAAAAUAAAAAUAAAAAUAAAAAUAAAAAUAAAUAAAACAAAAUUUACUGUCUCUCACAUUCAUUGCUGAAUCAUUAUUAACUAGUAAGUUUUUAAGUUAUAGACUUCUCUACCCAUUAUUCGCUACAUGUUCCUUGAUUGCAGAGAAGAUUGCAUAAUGUCAAAAGCAGAUUCAGCAGAGGAUACAUGAAACACAUUUAAAAUGGUGGUAGGUCUAUAAAAUAUGGCGAAGGAAAGUUGAUGGAUACCUUUACUUCUGAAGUUGGAUUCAAUAGUUGAUGAUGUUCCUCCUUGGAUUUGUUGUAUCGUUCAAUAACAGACUUCAUGCUGAUAAUGACACAGGUAAAAAUCAUCAAUUUUCACAUCUGUGUAACUAUUGUGACAUACAUUCUUAAAAUGUGUAUCUCACUUUGAUGUUCUUUUAUUACAAGAACUCAAACAAUAAGAUCAUGAGAAUACUAAAGUAGGCCUGUAAAAAUGGCCCUUUGACCCUAAACCCGGCCUGACCCGCCCGCCCCAUUCAACGAAAAAAUCCCUUAAAACUCAACCCUUACAAUUUUUAGGGUAGGGCUGACCCGACCCGACCCUCUCCAUUUAAGGGAAAGACCAAUUACUAAAUGUUAGCGAAGGCGACCAACGGGUUAGGGUUUAGCUUUGGAAAACUUAGACCCUACCCUUAGGCCGACCCUAAUUAGUCCUCCCAAAGCCCUCUUACGACCCUUAUUGAUAUAUGUAUAAUUUUCAAUAUAUUUCUCUCUAUUAUGAAAUUUGAACAUUUUUUUAGAGUUUUAAUUAUAAAGAUUCUUACCAUUAGACAUAGAUGUUAUUUUUGUUUAAUUUAUAUGAACAUUACCAUAUGUUUAUCGAAUAAUUUUUCGAACCGGUUGUUAAAAAAUUAUUAUAUAACCAAAGGAAAUUAAUUCUGAAUAGAUUUUUUAUUAACAAUCUAUUUCAUUAUUGAGCAUGCAAUAAACAAUAAUUAGAUUAUUUUCUUAAAUGUGUAUUUUAUAUUUAUCAUGCUAGAAUUUUAUCAAUUUAGGAUUAAAUUUUGAAAUUUUGAAAUUUUAGUAAUAAGAUAAUUUCCGAGUUCUUUGUAUUUAUUAGUUGUAAUGCUUUUGAGUAAGAUAAUAUCAUAUACUAUAACAAAUUUUGUGGUAAAAAAAAUAUAUUUGUACAUUUAAGAAUUAAAACAUAUUAUACGUAUUUUCAAAAACUUGAAAAUGAUAUUAAUAUAAACAUGAUCCCAUGUUUUUUUUUUUCAAUUAAAACAUGAUCAUAUAUAUCGACCCUAUCAACCGUGCCCGUUAGCCCGACCCUCAACCCUUUCAAAAAAGGGAUAAGAGUCGGGUGAGGUUUUCAUAAUUUUUGUGUUAGCCGCCCUAACUCGACCCUUAUCAUCUUUUAGGGUAGGGCUAGCCCGGCUCGAGGGUUUAAGGGGCGGGUUACCCCUCCCCUGCCCAUUUUACAGGCCUACGUGAAAGUGGAAAUUUGUGAAUGUUAGGUGAACUGUCCAAGAGGGCAAUAUCAUCUACGGAGUAUAUGAGAAUCAGAAGUGAAUGACAGCCAAACAAGAUAUAACAAAAACAACUGGCUGUUAAACAGGGAUAUAUGGCAUGUUGCCGCCUAAUUUGUUUUGUGCCUUCAGCCCUUCACAUUAUGAGGGCUACCAUCUCUAUGAAGACUCCUUAGUUUAGGUUUGCCUCAAUCUGAGCAGCCAGGUUAUUACCAUCCCACCUGCUAAUAAUAUAAUCAUCCUAACUUACUCGAGAGCAUCCAGACCUGAAGGUUAGUGGAGCCAUGACUGGCAUAUGAGAAAUUUUCCUAGGUGUUGUGGAGCAUUCCUGAAGUAUUGUACUACUAUUUGACUCGGUUGUUUUCUUGUAUAAAUAUAUUGGGAAAAUGCUUUCUAGGUUCAUGUUUAGAUAAAAAGAUGAAAUUUCAAGAAGUGGCAAAUGCAUUCUAAAAUUUGGAUACAUAUUUCUGGUGUAGGAAAUGUUUUGGAAAUGUGCUCUCAGUUGAGAUUGGGUUGUAUUGGAGCACCCAGAACCAGCAGGUAGAGUGGUGCCAGAAAGAUACAUUGCUGCAUGGGAAAGGAACUGGCUUGACUAAUAACUACUGGGCCCAAUGUUGUGCUAUUGUUGAGGUUGUGAAAUUGGCAAGACAGCAUGGCUUAGUGUAUGGAUGGAAUCAAACUCUGCUGCUGCAGUUAAUGCAUUCAGAGAAGGCAAAAUACCAUGGGAGCUAAAAUAGUUGGAAUUAAUGUGUGAAAAAACUCCAUGAUUUAACUAUCUACAAGCACGUUGUUGUAGUGGAGAAAGAUGUUGUUGUAGUGGAGAAAGAUGGAAGAUUUUAAAAUUUUGUUGCAAAACACUAAAACACCCAUGGUUUGGUUAAGUACACUAAACCCUGUAAUUUUCUUUAAGAUACUAGAAAUAAAAGAUGAAUCAUAAUAUUGAUGUAUUAGGUUUAAACUUACAAAGAAGCUAAUUCUCUUUGUAUAGAGUGAGUCGACAGUGUUGGUACAUGGUACAUGAUUUGAGCUUUGGUUUUUGAGUAUAAAACUUACUGUAUAAGUUUUGAAAUAGUUUGAUCUCGUCAGUUUUAAUUAACUAGUCCUUACUCCUUAGGCCUGUGUAAUGUUUGUGGGUAUUGUGAUUUAUUAUACUCCGUAAUUCUUUUAUAAAUCACUUCUGGUUCACUUAUAUCAACUUUAUACAUAUGUAUACAAAAUCAAGGUUCAUAUGAUAAAAUU
This 15581-nucleotide long non-coding RNA is filed under the name Aquilegia coerulea. RNAcentral describes it as "long non-coding RNA (ACOE_LNC000875)". Lineage: Eukaryota; Viridiplantae; Streptophyta; Magnoliopsida; Ranunculales; Ranunculaceae. The record is from RNAcentral.